This 2480-nucleotide unclassified non-coding RNA is filed under the name Hevea brasiliensis (rubber tree). Lineage: Eukaryota; Viridiplantae; Streptophyta; Magnoliopsida; Malpighiales; Euphorbiaceae. The record is from RNAcentral.
ACACACACACACACUCAUAUAUAUUUACUCAUUUUGAUCAAUUUCCCAUCAAAAUGAUAUCUGAAAAAUUUAAAAUGUUCGCUGUUAGAAAGUUUUGCAAUCUGUUCUUUUUUUUAUGUCAACAGAACAUCAGCAUCUCGUUUGUGAACCUCAACAUGUAGAACUCCUAUUGAAUCCAAAAAUCGUAACUCUUUCCUCUUUAAUUCUGAUGCUAUCGGAUUGGAUGUAGGCAACGUAGAAGAUCUUUAGAUAAUGGCAGAUGGAUUUUUUUGGGAAUCAUAAGUUAUUGAAUGCAUGCUAGCACCUCCACAUUUUUGUUGCCCACGUUGAUUAUAAUUUAUUGCAUCUAAUUUGUGAUCAUGUCAGUCCAUGACUGGCCUGAUGCACGUGCAAACAGACAACCCUCCUUAUGUGUGUAUUGUGAAUCUUCUUAUAUGCAAAUGACAAGUAUCACCUAAAGUUAUAUUGUACAAUAGUGUUAAUUCAUUUUUAAUUUUUCUUUAUAUUUUAAUGUCAUUAUGGUGAUAGAGAGUUCUCUGGAAGUGAGUUUUCCUUGAUGUUAACAUGUGCGGUGCGCUGUAUAUUUAAGUUAUCAAGCUUUUAUGCAGUUUAUCAGCGACUUAAAUGAUUUUAAUCUGCUAGCUUUUAUGUUGGUUCAUUGGGCAGUUGUGGAUAUUAGUCCAUGGUCAGAGUUAUUUAUUGUUGUUUAAUUUAUGCUAUGAUAAUUGGUUUGGAAAUUGGAAAUACAGAGUUGAAGCUGUCUCUAAGGGAGUUGGUGUCAUUUACUACCCUGUUGGUAUAGGGGGUCUGUAUAUAUAUAUAUAUUUUUUUGGAUGUGCAGGAUGCUGCAGAUUUUAUAGAUUCCUAAGUUUUGCAUGAAGUUGCGGACAUAAUAGAUUUUUCAUCAUGUACAUGAGCCUGUCUUUGUAAAUAAAUUCAGGACCCCUUGGUAACAUUUUAAUAGAAAGUCACUUUGUUAUUGAAACAAUGGGGGGGGCAGGGAUAGUUGCACUCUACAGUGUGUGUAGAACUGUGAUUUUUUCUGAAUGAUUGUGCUCUCUGAAUAUGGAGUAUGUGAUUUCUGCACUUCUUAUAUGACCUAUGCUUCCUGCUGGAUGUAUUUUAAAUGUUGCAAACGGUACUGAAGUGUUGUUGGCAGAGAUGCUAGUUAGAUAGAUUUGAAAUUGCAAUGAAACAUUUAACAAAAAAAUAUAUGAAUCUUGUUAAAGUUGUAAUUCUUAUCCUUCAGUUAAUCACUGAAAGAACACUGAUUGAGUGAUUUUAUUUGGUGAAUUGUGACUUGUUUUUCUGUUUUGUUUUAGCUCUUUCAUUUUUUUUUUCCUUCCCUUUUGGCAGGCUAUAAUGUCAUUUCUCAAAUUAAGAUAAUGUCUUCAAAGGGUUGGGUGUUUUAUUUGGAUGAGUUAUUCUGAGACAAGUUUAGCACACUUAAUUAUUGAUAACAGGAUUUAGAAACCCUGUUGAUAUACAGGUUCUUGUGGCAGUUAUGAGCUGGUGUAGUCACUUCAAAAUGCUUUUUAGAAAUGUUGAAAUAUUUGACCAAUGAGCUUUUCCUUAGUGAUACUCGAGUCAUCUCCAGGCCUAUGAAGUGUCGAGUUCGAAGCCCGAUGAACCACAAAAAAGAAAUGUUGAAAUAUCCUACUAAGAAAUUAACCUUUUUUUUCCUCUCUUUUCUUUUUCUUAAAAUAAAAGUUUGAGAACCCUAACUAUUUUUGGAUUAAGGUUUAGCUAAGCUGAGUUUUUUAAUUUAGAAUGAAAAGGAACUGGAUUUAACUACCCCUGGCAAGUGGUUGUAAUGGUCUUAUGUAUCAGAGAUUCUCUUAUUGCAUUAGGCUGUACUAAUAGAAGUAAUUUGUGGUCUACUGUGACAGUGAAUAGAGGCUUCCACUCAACAGGAGCAAAGAGGAUGGGAGGAGGUCAUGCACAUGGCCAUGAUGAACCAUUCUACCUUCAUGCAAAGCACAUGUACAACUUGGACAGGAUGAAAAAUCAGAAAAUUAAAAUGCCUCUUGCUGUCUUUACUGCCUUCAGCAUUGGUGUCAUCGUUCCUAUAUAUGCUGUCAUUUUCCAGCAGAAAAAGACUGCUUCUGCGUGAGUCAUGAUGCGUUGGUGCAGUAACUGGAACAAGUUUGAAAUGCAUUUCUUGGGGACUGUUGGCAUUCCUAAGUUGGGUUCAUUUUGGUUCUUUUUGCUGUUAGUUUUCAAUGUUUAAUGUUGGCAAAUAGGAUUUGAAGACUUGUUUUUUCAUAAUAAUAUCAUACAGUAACAAAUCGAUUCUGAAUGAAUCGUGGGUUCAAAUACUUUGCUUCCUUUAAUGUGCUUAACAUGGUGCUUUGGAAUCAAAUCUUUUAUUUUUGCUGAGAUUAGUAGGUCUAUGGUCACAUCACAUGCAAUGUGGAGUUGUUUUUGUUAUUGUUAAAGUUACUUUUUGGUUUAGUUCUAUCAUGGGUCCAUGGUUAAUG